AAUAGAUACCCCGGUAGUCCAUGCCGUAAACGUUGGGCGCUAGAUGUGGGGACCAUUCCACGGUUUCCGUGUCGCAGCUAACGCAUUAAGCGCCCCGCCUGGGGAGUACGGCCGCAAGGCUAAAACUCAAAGGAAUUGACGGGGGCCCGCACAAGCGGCGGAGCAUGCGGAUUAAUUCGAUGCAACGCGAAGAACCUUACCAAGGCUUGACAUAUACGAGAACGCUCUAGAAAUAGAGAACUCUUUGGACACUCGUAUACAGGUGGUGCAUGGUUGUCGUCAGCUCGUGUCGUGAGAUGUUGGGUUAAGUCCCGCAACGAGCGCAACCCUCGUUCUAUGUUGCCAGCGGUUCGGCCGGGAACUCAUAGGAGACUGCCGGGGUCAACUCGGAGGAAGGUGGGGAUGACGUCAAAUCAUCAUGCCCCUUAUGUCUUGGGCUUCACGCAUGCUACAAUGGCCAGUACAAAGGGCUGCAAUACCGUAAGUGGAGCGAAUCCCAAAAAGCCGGUCUCAGUUCGGAUUGAGGUCUGCAAC
RNAcentral lists this ribosomal RNA (534 nucleotides) under uncultured bacterium. Its description in RNAcentral is "bacterial SSU rRNA". It matches the Rfam family "Bacterial small subunit ribosomal RNA", at positions 777 to 1311 of the family's 1533-position model. The record is from RNAcentral.